GUCCUUUUGAAUUUAAUUUAAGGUCUAACCUGCCCACUGAAUUAGAAUUUAAAUGGCCGCAGUAAUUUGACUGUGCAAAGGUAGCAUAAUCAUUAGUUUUUUAAUUGAAAGCUUGUAUGAAGGGUUGGACGAGGUAAAAUCUGUCUCUAAUAAAAUUAAUUUAGAAUUUAACUUUUAAGUCAAAAGGCUUAAAUUUAUCUAAAAGACGAGAAGACCCUAUAGAUCUUUAUAAUUUUUUUAUUAAAUUUAAUUAAGAAUUUUUAGAAUUUUAAUAAUAUAAUUAUUUUAUUGGGGUAAUAUAAAGAUUAAAAUAAUUCUUUUUUUUUAUUAACAUUGAUUUAUGAAUAUUUGAUCCAAUUUUAUUGAUUAUAAGAUUAAGUUACCUUAGGGAUAACAGCGUAAUUUUUUUAGAGAGUUCAUAUCGAUAAAAAAGUUUGCGACCUCGAUGUUGGAUUAAAGAUUAUUUUAGGUGUAGAAGCUUAGAAAUUUGGUCUGUUCGACCAUUAAAUCUUUACAUGAUCUGAGUUCAGACCGGUGUAAGCCAGGUCGGUUUCUAUCUUUAGUAAAUUAAAAUAUUUUAGUACGAAAGGACCAAUUAUUUAAUAUAAAAUAUUUAAAUUUUGAUUAAUAUUAAAA
This 636-nucleotide ribosomal RNA is filed under the name Nebria yunnana. Its description in RNAcentral is "partial large subunit ribosomal RNA". It matches the Rfam family "Bacterial large subunit ribosomal RNA", at positions 1819 to 2738 of the family's 2925-position model. Lineage: Eukaryota; Metazoa; Arthropoda; Insecta; Coleoptera; Carabidae. The record is from RNAcentral.